AGGUCUAAUCUGCCCAUUGAUUAGUUAAAAGGCCGCAGUAAUUUGACUGUGCAAAGGUAGCAUAAUCAUUAGUUUUUUAAUUUAAAGCUUGUAUGAAUGAUUGGACGAGAUAAAAACUGUCUCUUAAUAAAAUAUAGAAUUUAAUUUUUAAGUUAAAAAGCUUAAAUGUUUAUAAAAGACGAGAAGACCCUAUAGAUUUUUAUUUAAAUUUAUUUAUUUUAUAUAAAGAUUAAAAAAUAAAUUAAAUAUUUUUAUAAUUUUAUUGGGGUAAUAAAAAGAUUAAAGAAAUUCUUUAAUAGUUGUAACAAAAAUUAUUGAAUAAGUGAUCCAAAAUUUUUGAUUUAAAGAUUAAAUUACCUUAGGGAUAACAGCGUAAUUUUUUUAGAGAGUUCUUAUCGAUAAAAAAGUUUGCGACCUCGAUGUUGGAUUAAAAAUUAUUUUGGGUGUAGAAUUUCAAAUUAUUGGUCUGUUCGACCAUUAGAUUUUU
This 487-nucleotide ribosomal RNA is filed under the name Desmopachria sp. IR-2007. RNAcentral's name for it is "partial 16S ribosomal RNA". It matches the Rfam family "Bacterial large subunit ribosomal RNA", at positions 1850 to 2597 of the family's 2925-position model. The record is from RNAcentral. Lineage: Eukaryota; Metazoa; Arthropoda; Insecta; Coleoptera; Dytiscidae.